This 194-nucleotide ribosomal RNA is filed under the name Jacquemontia reclinata. RNAcentral describes it as "5.8S ribosomal RNA". The stretch from base 1 to 164 matches the Rfam family "5.8S ribosomal RNA", at positions 20 to 154 of the family's 154-position model. From Rfam's summary of the family: 5.8S ribosomal RNA (5.8S rRNA) is a component of the large subunit of the eukaryotic ribosome. It is transcribed by RNA polymerase I as part of the 45S precursor that also contains 18S and 28S rRNA. Lineage: Eukaryota; Viridiplantae; Streptophyta; Magnoliopsida; Solanales; Convolvulaceae. The record is from RNAcentral.
CUCGGCUCUCGCAUCGAUGAAGAACGUAGCGAAAUGCGAUACUUGGUGUGAAUUGCANAAUCCCGUGGUUCCAUCUGAAUUGCAGAAUCCCGUGAACCAUCGAGUCUUUGAACGCAAGUUGCGCCCGAAGCCGUCAGGCCGAGGGCACGUCUGCCUGGGCGUCACGCAUCGCGUCGCCCCCCCCUUCCCGCGAC